RNAcentral lists this ribosomal RNA (468 nucleotides) under uncultured bacterium. Its description in RNAcentral is "partial 16S ribosomal RNA". It matches the Rfam family "Bacterial small subunit ribosomal RNA", at positions 28 to 507 of the family's 1533-position model. The record is from RNAcentral.
GACGAACGCUGGCGGCGUGCUUAACACAUGCAAGUCGAACGGAAAGGCCCUGCUUUUGUGGGGUGCUCGAGUGGCGAACGGGUGAGUAACACGUGAGUAACCUGCCCUCGACUUUGGGAUAACGCCAGGAAACGGGGGCUAAUACCGGAUAGGAGCUCCUGCUGCAUGGGGGGGGGGGGAAAGGUGCGGCGGUGGGGGAGGGACGGGCGGCUUAUCAGCUUGUUGGUGGGGUAGUGGCUUACCAAGGCGUUGACGGGUAGCCGGCCGGCGGGGGUGACCGGCCACAUUGGGCCUGAGAUACGGCCCAGACUCCUACGGGAGGCAGCAGUGCGGAAUAUUGCACCAUGGUCCGAAGCCUGAUGCAGCAACGCCGCGUGCGGGAUGACGGCCUUCGGGUUGUAACCCGCUUUCGCCUGUGCCGAAGCGUGAGUGACGGUAGUGGGUAAAGAAGCACCGGCUAACUACGUG